Molecule: small nucleolar RNA, 126 nt
Filed under: Meriones unguiculatus (Mongolian gerbil)
Lineage: Eukaryota; Metazoa; Chordata; Mammalia; Rodentia; Muridae
Description: Small nucleolar RNA SNORA17 (ENSMUGG00000020700.1)
Rfam family: Small nucleolar RNA SNORA17
About the family: snoRNA ACA 17 belongs to the H/ACA family of snoRNAs and is predicted to guide pseudouridylation of the 28S rRNA at positions U4659 and U4598. It shares the same host gene together with ACA43.
Source: RNAcentral
CCUACCCCCAGAGGCAUUGCCAGUGUGGCUGCUGUGUCAUGUGUGCAUCAGAAGGUGGCAGAGAGAGGCUAAGUCUAAGCUCUGUGUUCUGACCUAUGAACAGCUGAAUGAUAGCAGCCUGACAUU